RNA transcript from Vidua macroura (Pin-tailed whydah), 3697 nucleotides. It is a transcript of the gene named apoptosis inducing factor mitochondria associated 3, with no coding region annotated. Lineage: Eukaryota; Metazoa; Chordata; Aves; Passeriformes; Viduidae. The record is from RefSeq and is a predicted model, not a curated record. The transcript has 21 exons.
AGCGGGGAGCCCCCCCCACGCGUGUACCGACAGCGGACAGGGCCGGCGGGCGCCUCCCGCUCCGCACCCGCGGCGGGGCGUGUCCCGCGCCCUGCCCCGCCCCGGGACCGGCCGCGCUCCUCCCGCCGCGCUGGCACCGCCGCUGCUGCCCAGGUGGGGAUCGACGCGGAGCCGGGACACCUCCAGUACCAUGCGAGGAUGUGCCCGCACCCUCGCUGACUUGCCCGCCCCCGCUGCCUGUCCCGCCCGGCACCAUGGGAGGAUGCUUCUCCAAGCCCAAACCAGUUGAGGUGAAAAUUGAAGUUGUGAUACCUGAGAAGGAGAGAAGCAAGGAGGAGAUGUCACCCAAUGGGAAAGCCAGCCCUCUGAUCUACAAAGUCAAUGGGACUGCCCGGCACUACCACCUUGAGGAGCAUCCAAUUGCCAGCAACCCCUACCACAACCCAAAGGAUGUGGUAGAAGCAUCUGUGUGCCAUGUAAAGGACCUGGAGAAUGGACAGAUGCGGGAAGUGGACCUGGGCUGUGGGAAGGCUCUGCUCAUCAAAGAAAGUGGGGAGUUCCACGCCGUGGGACACAAGUGUCCCCACUAUGGGGCUCCUCUGGUCAAAGGGGUUUUGUCCAAAGGAAGAGUCCGCUGUCCCUGGCAUGGAGCUUGCUUCAAUAUCGGCACAGGUGACAUUGAGGACUUUCCCGGCCUGGAUAGUUUACCCAGGUUCCAGGUGAAGAUUGAGAAGGAGAAGGUAUACAUCCGAGCAAGCAAGCAGACUCUUCAGACACAGAGGAGGACAAAGAUGAUGGCAAAGUGCAUCUCCUUGAGCAACUACAACCUGAGCAGCACCAAUGUGCUGAUCAUUGGUGCAGGGGCAGCUGGGCUGGUCUGUGCAGAGACCUUGCGCCAGGAGGGUUUCUCUGACCGGAUUGUGAUGUGCACCAUGGACAGACACUUGCCCUAUGAUAGACCAAAGCUCAGUAAGUCAAUGGAUUCCCAUCCUGAGCAGAUUGCCCUGCGCCCCAAGGAGUUCUUCUGCACCUACGACAUCGAAGUCCUGACUGAAAUGCAGGUGGCGGCUGUGGAUGUCAAGAGCAAGAUAGCUGUGUUCAAGGAUGGGUUUAAGAUGGAAUACAACAAGCUGCUGAUAGCAACGGGAAACACGCCCAAAACUCUCAGCUGCAAAGGCAAGGAGAUGGAAAAUGUUUUCAACAUCCGGACGCCCGAAGAUGCCAAUCGUGUGGUGAAGCUGGCCACGAGCAAGAACGUGGUGAUUGUGGGAGCAUCCUUCCUGGGGAUGGAGGUGGCCGCCUACCUUGCGGAGAGGGCCCACUCGGUGUCCCUGGUGGAGCUGGAGCAUGUCCCCUUCAAGAAGUUCUUUGGGGAGAGGGUUGGCCGUGCUGUCAUGAAGAUGUUCGAGAACAACAGGGUGAAGUUCUACAUGCAGACAGAGGUGUCGGAGCUGCGGGAGCAGGAGGGGAAGCUGAAGGAGGUUGUGCUGAAGAGUGGGAAGGUCCUGCGUGCUGACGUCUGUGUCGUGGGUGUUGGUGCAGUCCCAGCGACAGGCUUCCUCAAGCAGAGUGGCAUCAACAUUGACUCCAAGGGCUUCAUCGUGGUCAACAAGAUGAUGCAGACCAACAUCCCAGGGGUCUUUGCUGCUGGAGAUGCUGUCACAUUUCCAUUGGCCUUGAGGAAUAACAAGAAGGUGAAUGUUCCUCACUGGCAGAUGGCCCACAUGCAUGGCCGCGUCGCUGCGCUGAACAUGCUGGCCCACGGCACGGAGAUCAGCACUGUCCCAUACCUGUGGACAGCUAUGUUUGGGAAGAGCAUCCGAUAUGCGGGCCAUGGGGAAGGAUUUGAUGAUGUUGUCAUCCAGGGAGAUUUAGAUGAACUGAAGUUUGUGGCAUUUUAUACCAAGAGUGACGAGGUGGUGGCUGUGGCCAGCAUGAACUAUGACCCAAUUGUCUCCAAGGUGGCUGAGGUCCUGGCUGCUGGCAGGACCAUCCGGAAGCGCGAUGUAGAGCUGUUUGUCCGUCAUGGCAAGUACGUUUGGUUUGGGGUCCUGAGUGUGCUGGAUGUGAGGGAGGAAGGCAGGAGGGACAGCUGCCCCCCUGACUGGGCCAUACCCCUAAUUCCUAUGUGGGACACUGGCUUCAUGGGGGGUGUCCUUGUUUUUCAUCUCCCUCACAUGGGGGGCAGUGCUGGGUGGUAGGGCUGGGGCUGCCAGGAGCCACAUCAGGCACAGUUCCUGUUGGCUGGGACCUUGCUUGGCUGGGGUUUGGUGGCUUUCCAUGGAUUUUCAGCUGAAGGGCUGCUUUUAAGUAUAAAUAAACAAAAUGUUUGAACUAAGUUUUACACAGAAUCGAGGACCUGCAGGUGACUUUUUGGACAGUUUAGUGACAGAACUGGAGACAUGUCCUGGCUAACAGGGAAAGGCACCUAAAGCCACGGAUGGCUGAGCUCUCCUGAUGCUGCACUCACCGUGGGGAGAUGGGACAGCAGCUUCAUGGCCCGGUGGGAACCCCAUGGUUCAGCCAUUUCCCUUUGAGACCUCUAUGAACCUGGCAUUGUGUCCUGACCUUCCCAGGAGGAUCUCACACAGCUCCUCUGCCCCUGCGCCUGCUGGGCUGGGGCUGGGGCUCUGCUGUUGCAAUUGCUGUGGAAUGCUGGAAAAGCAGCCCACAGAGAGAGUGAGGUUUGGCACUGCCAGCGGGCAUGGGCGCCAUAUGGCUCUGGAUGCUGCCAUCGGGCUGAGGGUCCCCAGGCAGGUCUGCCCCACGCAUGCCCCUCACUCCCAUAAGCAGCAUGAGGGCCUUUGGUUGCUCCUGUGCUUUCAUGCAUGAUGCUCCUUUCCAAUUUCUCUUUGCUCCCAGCAGAGCUCCAAUGUGCAUCCCUGCAGAGCCUGACAUCCACUCCCUUCCUGCAUGGCUGCAGCACUUGCCACAGCUCUCCCUGUGCCCACCCAGCCCAGGGGGCAUUUGGGUGGGCCAGGAGAUUACACUGGGUGAUCUCUGUUCAGCUGGUGCUUGCGUUGUCCAGGCUGGUCCUGUGCAGCCCCACCAGCAGAGCUGGUUCCCUGUCCAUGCUGAGGGCUCUGGAGCUCAUCAGUCCCCCUCCCAGCAUCUCCUGUCCUGGAGCAGCCAAGGGGCUGGGUUUCGUUCCCUGUCUCCUGGGGCUCGGUUUGGGCUGGGGCGCUGGCAGCUCUUGGCCCGUUCCUGGACUGCAUUGCAGGGGUAUCUGAGAGCUGUGGUGGCUCAGCUGCAGCCCUGGACUGGGUGGCCACCCUUCCAGCCAGACUUGGGAUAUGUCUCCUUAAUGCUCUCAUGGGAUCAGUGCUGUUGCUGAGGUGCUACUCGAGGAAAAGUAGCUGGGGGAGCACUUCUGGCUGUCCAUUCUCUGGCACUUGUCUGGUGUAGUGACAAAGCUGUAUUUCCCAGCCCACCAUGCUAGUGCUCUGCUGUCCUGUUUCUGGCCCCAUGCUGAAGAAGAGCCAUAUCUCCAGCUCAGGAGUGGACCUGGCCAGCCACAGCCCAGUGUCCAUCAGCCCAGCAGAGUGGGGAUUGAGGGUCCCCCUUGGAGAGACUCCAGUGCUGUGUUCUGGGGUGACUCCUUCCCCAGCAGCCAGUGUUUUACCCUGAGUCCCAAACAAGAAGAUUUAUAUUUUUAAUUUGAUUCACCCCCUAUGAAUUAAAGCAAUACUGUUCUUGA